Molecule: ribosomal RNA, 465 nt
Filed under: uncultured bacterium
Lineage: Bacteria
Description: partial 16S ribosomal RNA
Rfam family: Bacterial small subunit ribosomal RNA
Source: RNAcentral
CCUACGGGAGGCUGCAGUGGGGAAUAUUGCGCAAUGGGCGAAAGCCUGACGCAGCGACGCCGCGUGAGGGAUGAAGGUCUUCGGAUCGUAAACAUCUGUCAGCAGGGAAGAACGGUCACUGUGCUAAUCAGCAGUGAAUUGACGGUACCUGCAAAGGCAGCACCGGCUAACUCCGUGCCAGCAGCCGCGGUAAUACGGAGGGUGCGAGCGUUAAUCGGAAUUACUGGGCGUAAAGCGCUCGUAGGCGGUAUGUCAAGUCAAGGGUGAAAUCCCCGCGCUCAACGUGGGAACUGCCUUUGAAACUGGCAAACUGGAGUGUGUGAGAGGAUAGUGGAAUUCCAGGUGUAGGAGUGAAAUCCGUAGAUAUCUGGAGGAACAUCAGUGGCGAAGGCGACUAGCUGGAACAUAACUGACGCUGAGGAGCGAAAGCGUGGGUAGCAAACAGGAUUAGAUACCCCUGUAGUC